GGACGAACGCUGGCGGCGUGCUUAACCCAUGCAAGUCGAACGGAAAGGCCCGGCUUUUGUGGGGUGCUCGAGUGGCGAACGGGAGAGUAACACGUGAGUAACCUUCCCUUGACGUUGGGGUAACUUCAGGAAACUGGGGCUAAUGCCGGAUAGGAGCUCCUGCUGCAUGGUGGGGGUUGGUAAGUUUCGGCGGUUGGGGAUGGACUCGCGGCUUAUCAGCUUGUUGGUGGGGUAGUGGCGUACCAAGGCUUUGACGGGUAGCCGGCCUGAGAGGAUGACCGGCCAAGUUAGGACGGAACUGCGGCCCAGACCACUACGGGAGGCAGCGGAGCAGAGUAGUACACAAUGGGCGGAAGCAUGAUGCAGUAAAGCCGCGUGGGGUAUGUGGGCAAUCGGGUUGUAAUCUGAUUUCGCCUGAGACGAAGCGAGAAUGACGGUAAUGGGUGAAGAAGCACCGGCUAACUACGUG
This 469-nucleotide ribosomal RNA is filed under the name uncultured bacterium. Its description in RNAcentral is "partial 16S ribosomal RNA". It matches the Rfam family "Bacterial small subunit ribosomal RNA", at positions 27 to 507 of the family's 1533-position model. The record is from RNAcentral.